This 256-nucleotide unclassified non-coding RNA is filed under the name Hevea brasiliensis (rubber tree). Lineage: Eukaryota; Viridiplantae; Streptophyta; Magnoliopsida; Malpighiales; Euphorbiaceae. The record is from RNAcentral.
GAGGGAGAGAGAAAGAAAGAAAGAAAGAAUCUUGAUGAUGAUGAUGAUGAUGAUGAUGCUUCAGUAAUUGGAAAGGAAAAGUCCAAGCUAUAUGCUAUGGAGGGUUCUGGCUCAUGAGGUUGAAGAAACUCCUAAGUGGCCAGUUAGAACAAUUUGAGCAUGAUCAGCUGAGAAUAAGCAGCGUGGGNNNNNNAAAAUAUAUAUAUAUUUGCAUAAAAAUCAAGUGCUUAUCUGAUUUUGUUGCUAUAUGGGGGCG